This 61-nucleotide small RNA is filed under the name Arabidopsis thaliana (thale cress). RNAcentral's name for it is "ATSL301890". The record is from RNAcentral. Lineage: Eukaryota; Viridiplantae; Streptophyta; Magnoliopsida; Brassicales; Brassicaceae.
UUUUUUCAUAUUUGUUCUCAUCAUCCACAAUCUAAUUUCAUUAAAUCAAAAAGAGAAAACA